Molecule: long non-coding RNA, 416 nt
Filed under: Rattus norvegicus (Norway rat)
Lineage: Eukaryota; Metazoa; Chordata; Mammalia; Rodentia; Muridae
Description: long non-coding RNA NONRATT023822
Source: RNAcentral
AAAAAAACGAUUAGAUGUGGCUGAGUUCAGUAUCUACUGGGAUGUCAAUUGCACUUUAUUGGGGGAUUUGCCUCAAGCGGAGCUGCAGGUAUGUUCUGCUUUGGGGCUUCUGUGUAAGAUGGCUUUGAGGCUCAUGGUGCAGCGACCCUGGUUUGCAGGCGGUUGUCCCCUGUGUCCGUGUCGACAAGCAUCUUCUCUCUUGAGUCUGCCUGAGGAGCUUCUCGAGUCUGAAGGUUUCAACUUCAGAUGCACAUUAGCUUGUGUGUUUAACUUGGAUCAGGUUACUUGGUGACUUUUGUUCAUGUGUCUCUUUUUCAUGUAAAGUUGUUCUUUAAUUUAAUUAAUUAAGUGUAUUAGUAUUUAGUAAUCACUAAUUUAACACAUUCAGUUAAUAUUAAUAAAAUUAUAAAUACCAA